UCACUUCCAACAACGGAUCUCUUGGCUUUCGCAUCGAUGAAGAACGUAGCGAAGUGCGAUAAGUAAUGUGAAUUGCAGUAUUCCGUGAAUCAUCGAACCUUUGAACGCAUAUUGCACUUUCUGGUAUUCCGGAAAGUAUGCCUGUUUGAGGGUCAGUU
Molecule: ribosomal RNA, 158 nt
Filed under: uncultured Glomus
Lineage: Eukaryota; Fungi; Glomeromycota; Glomeromycetes; Glomerales; Glomeraceae
Description: 5.8S ribosomal RNA
Rfam family: 5.8S ribosomal RNA
About the family: 5.8S ribosomal RNA (5.8S rRNA) is a component of the large subunit of the eukaryotic ribosome. It is transcribed by RNA polymerase I as part of the 45S precursor that also contains 18S and 28S rRNA.
Source: RNAcentral